RNAcentral lists this ribosomal RNA (1528 nucleotides) under Klebsiella aerogenes. Its description in RNAcentral is "bacterial SSU rRNA". It matches the Rfam family "Bacterial small subunit ribosomal RNA". Lineage: Bacteria; Pseudomonadati; Pseudomonadota; Gammaproteobacteria; Enterobacterales; Enterobacteriaceae. The record is from RNAcentral.
AGAGUUUGAUCAUGGCUCAGAUUGAACGCUGGCGGCAGGCCUAACACAUGCAAGUCGAGCGGUAGCACAGAGAGCUUGCUCUCGGGUGACGAGCGGCGGACGGGUGAGUAAUGUCUGGGAAGCUGCCUGAUGGAGGGGGAUAACUACUGGAAACGGUAGCUAAUACCGCAUAACGUCGCAAGACCAAAGUGGGGGACCUUCGGGCCUCAUGCCAUCAGAUGUGCCCAGAUGGGAUUAGCUAGUAGGUGGGGUAAUGGCUCACCUAGGCGACGAUCCCUAGCUGGUCUGAGAGGAUGACCAGCCACACUGGAACUGAGACACGGUCCAGACUCCUACGGGAGGCAGCAGUGGGGAAUAUUGCACAAUGGGCGCAAGCCUGAUGCAGCCAUGCCGCGUGUAUGAAGAAGGCCUUCGGGUUGUAAAGUACUUUCAGCGAGGAGGAAGGCAUUAAGGUUAAUAACCUUGGUGAUUGACGUUACUCGCAGAAGAAGCACCGGCUAACUCCGUGCCAGCAGCCGCGGUAAUACGGAGGGUGCAAGCGUUAAUCGGAAUUACUGGGCGUAAAGCGCACGCAGGCGGUCUGUCAAGUCGGAUGUGAAAUCCCCGGGCUCAACCUGGGAACUGCAUUCGAAACUGGCAGGCUAGAGUCUUGUAGAGGGGGGUAGAAUUCCAGGUGUAGCGGUGAAAUGCGUAGAGAUCUGGAGGAAUACCGGUGGCGAAGGCGGCCCCCUGGACAAAGACUGACGCUCAGGUGCGAAAGCGUGGGGAGCAAACAGGAUUAGAUACCCUGGUAGUCCACGCCGUAAACGAUGUCGACUUGGAGGUUGUGCCCUUGAGGCGUGGCUUCCGGAGCUAACGCGUUAAGUCGACCGCCUGGGGAGUACGGCCGCAAGGUUAAAACUCAAAUGAAUUGACGGGGGCCCGCACAAGCGGUGGAGCAUGUGGUUUAAUUCGAUGCAACGCGAAGAACCUUACCUACUCUUGACAUCCAGAGAACUUAGCAGAGAUGCUUUGGUGCCUUCGGGAACUCUGAGACAGGUGCUGCAUGGCUGUCGUCAGCUCGUGUUGUGAAAUGUUGGGUUAAGUCCCGCAACGAGCGCAACCCUUAUCCUUUGUUGCCAGCGAUUCGGUCGGGAACUCAAAGGAGACUGCCAGUGAUAAACUGGAGGAAGGUGGGGAUGACGUCAAGUCAUCAUGGCCCUUACGAGUAGGGCUACACACGUGCUACAAUGGCAUAUACAAAGAGAAGCGACCUCGCGAGAGCAAGCGGACCUCAUAAAGUAUGUCGUAGUCCGGAUUGGAGUCUGCAACUCGACUCCAUGAAGUCGGAAUCGCUAGUAAUCGUAGAUCAGAAUGCUACGGUGAAUACGUUCCCGGGCCUUGUACACACCGCCCGUCACACCAUGGGAGUGGGUUGCAAAAGAAGUAGGUAGCUUAACCUUCGGGAGGGCACUUACCACUUUGUGAUUCAUGACUGGGGUGAAGUCGUAACAAGGUAACCGUAGGGGAACCUGCGGUUGGAUCACCU